UGAGGAAUAUUGGACAAUGGGCGCAAGCCUGAUCCAGCGACGCCGCGUGAGUGAUGAAGGCCUUUGGGUCGUAAAGCUCUGUCAGCAGGGAAGAACGGCCCUACGGAUAAUACCCGUAGGGAUUGACGGUACCUGCAGAGGAAGCACCGGCUAACUCCGUGCCAGCAGCCGCGGUAAUACGGAGGGUGCGAGCGUUAAUCGGAAUUACUGGGCGUAAAGGGCGCGUAGGCGGCCGAUCAAGUCAGAUGUGAAAGCCCACGGCUUAACCGUGUGAAGUGCAUCUGAAACUGGUUGGCUUGAGUAUCGGAGAGGAAAGUGGAAUUCCCGGUGUAGAGGUGAAAUUCGUAGAUAUCGGGAGGAAUACCGGUGGCGAAGGCGACUUUCUGGACGAAUACUGACG
This 400-nucleotide ribosomal RNA is filed under the name uncultured bacterium. Its description in RNAcentral is "bacterial SSU rRNA". It matches the Rfam family "Bacterial small subunit ribosomal RNA", at positions 355 to 745 of the family's 1533-position model. The record is from RNAcentral.